Molecule: unclassified non-coding RNA, 231 nt
Filed under: fungal sp.
Lineage: Eukaryota; Fungi
Also listed under: 3 other names
Description: partial contains small subunit ribosomal RNA, internal transcribed spacer 1, and 5.8S ribosomal RNA
Rfam family: Eukaryotic small subunit ribosomal RNA (bases 1-46)
Source: RNAcentral
AAGUCGUAACAAGGUUUCCGUAGGUGAACCUGCGGAAGGAUCAUUAUUGAAUUGUUUGUUUGAAUUGGCUUAAAACCCCAAUUCAGCAAUACAUAUCCAUAACACCUGUGCACUGUUGGAUGAGCAAACUCGCAAGAGCAAGCAAGUCCACUUUUACACCAAACAAUUUGUAACAAAUGUAGUCUUAUUAUAACAAUAAUAAAACUUUCAACAACGGAUCUCUUGGUUCUC